This 502-nucleotide ribosomal RNA is filed under the name uncultured bacterium. RNAcentral describes it as "bacterial SSU rRNA". It matches the Rfam family "Bacterial small subunit ribosomal RNA", at positions 30 to 504 of the family's 1533-position model. The record is from RNAcentral.
UGAACGCUGGCGGCGUGCUUAACACAUGCAAGUCGCACGAGAACGCUUCUGCUUGCAGAGGCUAGUAAAGUGGCGCACGGGUGAGUAACGCGUGGGUAAUCUACCCCCGGAUCCGGGAUAACCCUCCGAAAGGGGUGCUAAUACCGGAUGAGAUCAUAUUUGCUGCGGUGAAUAUGAUGAAAGGUGGCCUCUCCAUGGAAGCUACUGUUUGGGGAUGAGCCCGCGUACCAUUAGCUAGUUGGUGGGGUAAUGGCCUACCAAGGCAGCGAUGGUUAGCUGGUCUGAGAGGAUGAUCAGCCACACUGGAACUGACACACGGUCCAGACUCCUACGGGAGGCAGCAGUGAGGAAUUUUGCGCAAUGGGGGAAACCCUGACGCAGCAACGCCGCGUGAGUGAAGAAGGCUUUCGGGUCGUAAAGCUCUGUCGAGUGGGAAGAAAUCAUGUAUGUUUAAUAUACAUAUGUGCUGACGGUACCACAGAAGGAAGCACCGGCUAACUCC